RNAcentral lists this ribosomal RNA (492 nucleotides) under uncultured bacterium. RNAcentral's name for it is "partial 16S ribosomal RNA". It matches the Rfam family "Bacterial small subunit ribosomal RNA", at positions 28 to 507 of the family's 1533-position model. The record is from RNAcentral.
GAUGAACGCUGGCGAUAGGCCUAACACAUGCAAGUCGAACGGCAGCACAGUAAGAGCUUGCUCUUACGGGUGGCGAGUGGCGGACGGGUGAGGAAUACAUCGGAAUCUACUUUUUCGUGGGGGAUAACGUAGGGAAACUUACGCUAAUACCGCAUACGACCUACGGGUGAAAGCAGGGGAUCUUCGGACCUUGCGCGAUUGAAUGAGCCGAUGUCGGAUUAGCUAGUUGGCGGGGUAAAGGCCCACCAAGGCGACGAUCCGUAGCUGGUCUGAGAGGAUGAUCAGCCACACUGGAACUGAGACACGGUCCAGACUCCUACGGGAGGCAGCAGUGGGGAAUAUUGGACAAUGGGCGCAAGCCUGAUCCAGCCAUACCGCGUGGGUGAAGAAGGCCUUCGGGUUGUAAAGCCCUUUUGUUGGGAAAGAAAAGCAGCAGGUUAAUACCCCGCUGUUCUGACGGUACCCAAAGAAUAAGCACCGGCUGACUUCGUG